GGUGAAAAGCACCCCGGAAGGGGAGUGAAAUAGAACCUGAAACCGUGUGCUUACAAGUAGUCAGAGCCCGUUAAUGGGUGAUGGCGUGCCUUUUGUAGAAUGAACCGGCGAGUUACGAUUUGAUGCAAGGUUAAGCAGUAAAUGUGGAGCCGUAGCGAAAGCGAGUCUGAAUAGGGCGUUUAGUAUUUGGUCGUAGACCCGAAACCAGGUGAUCUACCCUUGGUCAGGUUGAAGUUCAGGUAACACUGAAUGGAGGACCGAACCGACUUACGUUGAAAAGUGAGCGGAUGAACUGAGGGUAGCGGAGAAAUUCCAAUCGAACCUGGAGAUAGCUGGUUCUCUCCGAAAUAGCUUUAGGGCUAGCCUCAAGUGAUGAUUAUUGGAGGUAGAGCACUGUUUGGACGAGGGGCCCCUCUCGGGUUACCGAAUUCAGACAAACUCCGAAUGCCAAUUAAUUUAACUUGGGAGUCAGAACAUGGGUGAUAAGGUCCGUGUUCGAAAGGGAAACA
Molecule: ribosomal RNA, 509 nt
Filed under: Staphylococcus aureus
Lineage: Bacteria; Bacillati; Bacillota; Bacilli; Caryophanales; Staphylococcaceae
Description: partial 23S ribosomal RNA
Rfam family: Bacterial large subunit ribosomal RNA
Source: RNAcentral